RNAcentral lists this long non-coding RNA (205 nucleotides) under Manihot esculenta (cassava). Its description in RNAcentral is "long non-coding RNA (MESC_LNC011165)". Lineage: Eukaryota; Viridiplantae; Streptophyta; Magnoliopsida; Malpighiales; Euphorbiaceae. The record is from RNAcentral.
AAGUUGAGAAAAGGAAGAAAAAAAUGCUGAAUUAAAGGAUUUUUUAUACUGGGAGGCUACAACCUUGACCAAACCUGUAACCCGAGGCGAUGGGGAGAUAAGAUAGAUUUUGCCACCUAAGCAAGGAUAAGAUCAGCUUCAAGUGGAGUCAAAUUGAAUCAAACUCAAUCAGAUGAGGAUAAAGAUCAUAUUAGGAUAGAGAUAA